GUCCACGCCCUAACGGUGGGUACUAGGUGUAGGGCUCGUAAGGGUUCUGUGCCGAAGGGAACCAUUAAGUACCCCGCCUGGGAAGUACGGCCGCAAGGUUGAAACUCAAAGGAAUUGACGGGGGCCCGCACAAGCGGUGGAGCAUGUGGUUUAAUUCGACGCAACGCGAAGAACCUUACCUGGGCUUGACAUGUUAGUAGUAAGAACCCGAAAGGGGGAUGAUUCCGAGCAAUCGGGAAGCUAACACAGGUGCUGCAUGGCUGUCGU
RNAcentral lists this ribosomal RNA (267 nucleotides) under uncultured bacterium. RNAcentral's name for it is "partial 16S ribosomal RNA". It matches the Rfam family "Bacterial small subunit ribosomal RNA", at positions 793 to 1055 of the family's 1533-position model. The record is from RNAcentral.